UGCCAGCCGCCGCGGUAAUACGGAAGGUGCGAGCGUUAAUCGGAAUUACUGGGCGUAAAGCGCACGUAGGUGGCUUGGUAAGUCAGCUGUGAAAGCCCCCGGCCCAACCGGGGAACUGCGGCUGAUACUGAUAGACUUGAGACUCGGAGAGGUGCAUGGAAUUCCUGGUGGAGCGGUGAAAUGCGUUGAUAUCAGGAGGAACACCGGAGGCGAAGGCGAUGCACUGGCCGAGUACUGACGCUGAGGCGCGAAAGCUAGGGGAGCGAACGGGAUUAGAUA
Molecule: ribosomal RNA, 279 nt
Filed under: uncultured bacterium
Lineage: Bacteria
Description: partial 16S ribosomal RNA
Rfam family: Bacterial small subunit ribosomal RNA
Source: RNAcentral